This 284-nucleotide unclassified non-coding RNA is filed under the name Toxicocladosporium sp. RNAcentral describes it as "partial contains 5.8S ribosomal RNA, internal transcribed spacer 2, and large subunit ribosomal RNA". The stretch from base 1 to 71 matches the Rfam family "5.8S ribosomal RNA", at positions 84 to 154 of the family's 154-position model. The record is from RNAcentral. Lineage: Eukaryota; Fungi; Ascomycota; Dothideomycetes; Cladosporiales; Cladosporiaceae.
GUGAGUCAUCGAAUCUUUGAACGCACAUUGCGCCCCGUGGUAUUCCGCGGGGCAUGCCUGUUCGAGCGUCAUUUCACCACUCAAGCCUCGCUUGGUAUUGGGCGACGCGGUCCGCCGCGCGCCUCAAAUCGACCGGCUGGGUCGAUCGCACCCUCAGCGUUGUGGAAACUAUUCGCAAGAGGAGUCUGUGAUCGGUCACGCCGUGAAACAAACCAAUUUUCAAUGGUUGACCUCGGAUCAGGUAGGGAUACCCGCUGAACUUAAGCAUAUCAAUAAGCGGAGGA